This is a long non-coding RNA of Helianthus annuus (common sunflower), 638 nucleotides long. RefSeq lists it as uncharacterized. NCBI's taxonomy places the organism in Eukaryota, Viridiplantae, Streptophyta, Magnoliopsida, Asterales, Asteraceae. The record is from RefSeq and is a predicted model, not a curated record. The transcript is spliced from 3 exons.
UAUGAUUUUCCCCCACAUAAUGCCGAGCGUCUAAUAUGGGCACCGGGUCAUACGGUAGGUGAUCCAUGACCCACAUCUCAUUCAAAACAAAAACCAUUAUCCAAAACCCUAAUUUCUCUACCUCCGCCACUAAUCUUCUGUACCGCUGUAUUCAAUGUUCAUCAGAUUUGCAAUCAAUUCAACUGGUUAGGGUUCAAUAAUCAAUAAGCUGAUUACUAGGAAAUGCAGAUCCAAAAUCCGCCUCACUUUUAUCUUUUAACCGUUUUUGAUCGCUUCCUCUUCUAUCUGAUUCUUUCUUUUUCCAAAACACCACCACCAUUUUUUUAUUCUUUAGAGUUUGCAAUUUGGUGCUUUAUGAAUUUCUUUGAAAAUCCAGGUUCUUGAAGUUCUUGGUUGAUGUUGGAUGUCGCCAAGGGGGAGGAGAUUCUUGGUCGAAUCAAACAGGACCUUAGGUAUACAUGGAGCUUGCACGGGAGGCACAGUCGUUGUGGACAUGGAUCGUGGAUGUUUUGCUAAACAUUUAUGACAGUUGAAAACUUAAUAAUUCCGUUGGAUUUUCAUACUAUGCUUCCGCUACUUAAACUAUGUUAUUUGAACACCUUUCAUAUUGUGGGUUGAUACAUUUACGUUACUAUUUA